ACCUCCAGCUCACAACUCCAGCAGCGCAGAGCAGAGGGAAGCCUAAAGGCUAUCAUACAGUUGCCCAAAGGGGCCCUCCCUGAGGGAAGGAAGGAUAUAUCCCAGAGAAAACCAGAGAGGGAAGUAUCCUGUGGAUCUUGGACAUUGGAAGAUGGGGACAUAAUUCACCCGACACACUUGAAGCAGCUGUCAUUUGGCUACCUGACCGAGAGACAAGACAAUAGGGCUUGUCUGCUCCUUCAAGAAUAUUCAUCCCACAUGUAAGGUCCUUUUAUCCCCAAGAACCACUCCACCUUCAUGAUAUCCAAGUGAGUUUAAUGUAGGGCUUAAUCCUGCAAGGGAGAGGCGGAUGGAGAAGAGUAUGUGGCCAGAACAGCCAAAUGGCUGCUCAUAAUCUUGUGAGUUGAUUGGCAAUACCUGGCACCAAAAUGUUUUCAUAAAUAUUGACUUUGCACACCACAUUGGCAUGCUCUGAACACAGGCUCUAUGUCCUAGCUCCAAAAAUUUUUCUUCCUUCACCAUCCCCUGAAAGCAUGUGUCAAAAUACGUGAGUGGUGUCCCUGGUUUGCUUUGUUUUUCUCCAUGCAGUAUUGCCAGUGCAGCUGCUGAUUAUGUGCAUGAAUCACUGAAGCCUGAGGGCUUGCAGAAUUAAGCCCAUAUUUUGCAAAUGCUUCAGUAAUUAUGCUUUGAGAAUCUAUAUGAAAUUUUGAAUGUGUAUAUAUUUUAUUAUAUUUGAGGUAGAAUUAUGCUAACCCAUAAAUGGAAACACUUGCCAUUUGGGUAGUAUUAGAUGCAAUUUGAUCCUUCAAUGAAAUACUGAAGUUGGCUAUACUCUUUGCACACAAAUUCAAAUUAGCAUUACAACUUGUUAGACAAGAAACUUGACAUGUAUCGUCUACAUUCUGUGGAUAUUUGGGCCAAAAAAUAAACAAAGCCUUUAUCUUGUAGUCU
Molecule: long non-coding RNA, 951 nt
Organism: Dermochelys coriacea (leatherback sea turtle)
Lineage: Eukaryota; Metazoa; Chordata; Testudines; Dermochelyidae
Exons: 4
Source: RefSeq, a predicted model, not a curated record